GUGGAGGGAAGCUCAGUGCUGAGGCUACAGACAGAGUGUAGGGGUCACUCUAUGUGCCUCAGGGAAGGUCUGAGACUGGAGCUCCUAGUUGCCCCUGCAGGGCAUCCCUUGGAUGAAGGGGGUGGGUCCCCAGAGAACUUGGCUCUGAUUGGCCAGUGAGUGCAAAAGAUGCAGCAAGUACCCAAUGUUGUGCUUCUGCAGAUGCAAAGGCAUCAGGCUUGGCACUGCCCCACAGCUGGCACAUUCAAGCUCAAUGGCUGAGAGGGAACUGCCUGUGGUUUCCCAACCCAAUUCAGACUACUCUCCCUCCAC
Molecule: ribozyme, 312 nt
Organism: Xenopus tropicalis (tropical clawed frog)
Lineage: Eukaryota; Metazoa; Chordata; Amphibia; Anura; Pipidae
Rfam family: Nuclear RNase P
About the family: Ribonuclease P (RNase P) is a ubiquitous endoribonuclease, found in archaea, bacteria and eukarya as well as chloroplasts and mitochondria. Its best characterised activity is the generation of mature 5'-ends of tRNAs by cleaving the 5'-leader elements of precursor-tRNAs.
Source: Ensembl